AACUUCGAGCAUAAUUUCCAGAUUUUCUAUUCAAGAUAGUUCUUGAUAAGUUGGUUUAAAUCAUAGUUGGGUUAGCAAGAUAAAUUAUUUAGUGCCUCCAAUUAAUAGCUAAACUGUUUCUUAUGAGAACAAAGUUAUAUAUAUCAGUUUGAUAUACGUUGUAUACGAGAGUAUAUUAUAUUCUCCCCUCACAAGUGGUUC
This 201-nucleotide long non-coding RNA is filed under the name Nicotiana benthamiana. RNAcentral describes it as "long non-coding RNA (NBEN_LNC032597)". Lineage: Eukaryota; Viridiplantae; Streptophyta; Magnoliopsida; Solanales; Solanaceae. The record is from RNAcentral.